GCCCUGUGACCCCCAAGUUUAACGGCCGCGGUAUACUGACCGUGCGAAGGUAGCGUAAUCAUUUGUCUUUUAAAUGGAGACCUGUAUGAAUGGCAUCACGAGAGUUCGACUGUCUCCCUCCCCCCGUCAGUGAAAUUGAUCUGCCCGUGCAGAAGCGGACAUAACAGCAUAAGACGAGAAGACCCUAUGGAGCUUUAGACAAAGGACCACCCAUGUAAAAACGCUUUCAGCCCCGAUAGGACUACGCAAGAUAAAAACUAACUGUGCUCUGGUCCAAGUGUCUUCGGUUGGGGCGACCCUGGGGGAAAAACUAGCCCCCAAGAGGAAUAGGGACAACCCCUGAACUAAGAAAAGCACUUCUAGGAAGCAGAAAAUCUGACCACAAAUGACCCAGGGCACGCCCCUGAUCAACGAACCAAGUUACCCUAGGGAUAACAGCGCAAUCCCCUCCCAGAGCCCAUAUCGACAAGGGGGUUUACGACCUCGAUGUUGGAUCAGGACAUCCUAAUGGUGCAGCCGCUAUUAAGGGUUCGUUUGUUCAACG
Molecule: ribosomal RNA, 544 nt
Filed under: Chilorhinus suensonii (seagrass eel)
Lineage: Eukaryota; Metazoa; Chordata; Actinopteri; Anguilliformes; Chlopsidae
Description: partial 16S ribosomal RNA
Rfam family: Bacterial large subunit ribosomal RNA
Source: RNAcentral